AUCAAAAACAUGUCUUUUUGAUAAUAAUUUAAAGUCUGACCUGCCCACUGAUUAAAUUAAAGGGCCGCAGUAUUUUGACUGUGCAAAGGUAGCAUAAUCAUUAGUCUUUUAAUUGAGGACUGGUAUGAAUGGUUUAACGAAAUAUUAACUGUCUCAUAAUAAUAAUAUAGAAUUUAACUUUUAAGUCAAAAGGCUUAGAUAUAAUUAUAGGACGAGAAGACCCUAUAGAGCUUUAUAUUUAUAAUUUAAAUUUUAUUUAGAUGUUUAUAAAAUUUAAAAUUAAAAAAUAUUUUAUUGGGGUGAUAAGAAGAUAAAAAUAACUCUUUAAUUAUAUUAACAUUAAUUUAUGAUUAAUUGAUCCAUUAAUAAUGAUUAUAAGAUUAAGUUACCUUAGGGAUAACAGCGUAAUGUUUUUUAAGAGUUCUUAUCAACAAAAAAGAUUGCGACCUCGAUGUUGGAUUAAGGUAAUAAUUGGGUGUAGAAGUUCAAAUUUUAGGUCUGUUCGACCUUUAAAUCCUUACGUGAUCUGAGUC
RNAcentral lists this ribosomal RNA (533 nucleotides) under Dolichopoda sp. 4 GA-2020. RNAcentral describes it as "partial large subunit ribosomal RNA". It matches the Rfam family "Bacterial large subunit ribosomal RNA", at positions 1806 to 2611 of the family's 2925-position model. Lineage: Eukaryota; Metazoa; Arthropoda; Insecta; Orthoptera; Rhaphidophoridae. The record is from RNAcentral.